AGUGAAUUUCGGUACUUGACCCCAUUGGAUGAAAACCGGGAGUCCGAUGAGCAUUUUGGUGGCUUGAACCUUUUUGUUUCUGAAUUGCCACGUUAGGAUCUGGUCAACAUCCUUCACACUGGUUUAAGCUCACGGUGAAUCGCGAGGGUGAAGCUGUGGGUUGAUAUAAAGGUUUUUUUUUAUUUUUUAUUUUUUUUGCACGUUUGUAUAUUUUAAGCGACUUGCACAAGGAGCCACACGCCUCCUGUAUCACCUUGUCUCCGGUGUGAAGUCGUGGAUUUUCCGCUUUUCCGGACUGAAGCAGAAGAGUAGAAACCAGGCGCUUUUACAAUCAUCUGAAGGGCAGUUACUGAGUUGGUGAACACAUCCAUUAUCCCUGGGUUCAGUGUGUGAGCAGCACUGAAUCCAGCGAGCAUAUCAAGCGGCAACCGUUCGUCGGGUAAUAUUGGCGAUGAAACCUGAUGGGGUGGCCACAGCAUCACCUGAACCAAUGGAAGCCGAAGGAACAGAACCCAUAAUAGAACAAACUGGCAAUGACGGGGCGUCUCAAAAUAAUACUACACCCCCACAAUCUGAUGAACCCCAAAAUGAGCAAGCGGCUCCUCCAACUGUAAAAGAAGCUUCUGGGAAAGCAGUAGAUGCUAAGAGCAAAUCCAAAGGCCCAGUCAAAGGCAAGAUUGCUGCAGGUCCAGCUACCACCGGACCAGGCACACGACCCAAAGCAACCCAAAGCCGUGUGGCUAAUGGCCUCACAAGGACUGCAUCGAGUACCCCAACCAAGAAACCCAUUCCAGCUAGCACUGCGGCAGCAGACAAGAAGAAACCCACCGCUAACGUUGGAUCUUCUGGUCCAAGUAAGAAACCCGUUGCCUAUUCUACUGCCGUUGCAACCUCAAGAGCCCAACCUAAAGCAACAACUGCUGGAACUAGCAAAUCAACGACAACCAUCGCAGCCAGUGGAACAAAGACAGGACCGGCUGCCAGCACAGCUACCAGCCUGAGUAAGAGACCUGCCACAGCUGCAACUAGUGCUGCAACCAAACCCAAAUCCGCAGCUCCUGCUCCAAGGCCAGCUGCUGCCCCUGCUGCCAAACCCAGCACUUCAGCCACAGCCAAAACCACUGCAGCUCCCAAAACUAACAGGGCAACUGGAAGUUCUGCCCCACGACCAGCUGCUUCUUCAACUACAGGAAGAACAGUAACUGGUACAACUACAUCUACUUCUGCAGUUCCUAGAACAAGCCGCACUGCUACUAAACCCCUUGUUACAGCAUCAGCUGCUCGGAAAGAUGUUGGAAAAACAAGCACAAUGGCACCUGCAAAAAAAACAGUUCCCUCAACAAUAUCCCGAUCUGCUGCCAGCAAGCCUUCAAAUUCAGAGGCUCCAAAACCAGCUGCAGUUACCAAACGACCUCCACCUAGCAUCAAAGCACCUCAACCCAAACCAGAUGACAAAAAAAGUGUACCAACACGUAAGGUGCCUUCUAGUCCACGAAACAAUGCCUCACGGCCAGCAUCAGGCAAGAACAUUGCAGCAUCUCCCAGUCACAAACAACCAGGUAGCAUGGUCAGUGCAAAGCUUCAGCCAGCUAAACCAACACAGUCUAUCAAAGGAAAACUGGAUGAUAAAGAACCUGAAACAAAACCUGAUGAUGAAGAACCUGCAACAAAACCCAAUGAUAAAGAACCUGCAACAAAACCCAAUGAUAAAGAACCUGCAACAAAACCCAAUGAUAAAGAACCUGCAGCAGAACAUGUGCAACUUUCAGCAGCUGCAGUAGCUACUGUAGCUGUAGCAACAGCUACAGCUGCAGCCAUAGCCAGGGAAGAGUCUGUUUCAGGGCUUGAAGCUACUCCAACUGUAGAGAGUUCUCUGGAUGUUCCAGCCUCUUCUUUAGAUGUUCAGGAAGUGGUAGAUGUGCAGGUCACUAAUGUCAGCUCUCAAAGUGUGCUGGAUAUUUAUAACACCGAGCCAGAGGCUCAAGAGGCCUUAAUAGAAGCCGGUUCUAUUGAAGUGGCUUGUCCAACAUCAUCUGUAGUCGAUCAGGAAUUUGAAGAGCAGGUAUCUAGAAAAGUUGAUGAAAAGCUUAUUGCGGCUGAGGCACCAGUUGCACAAGAAGCAACUGAGCAGGAAAGCUUAACUGCUUUGCAAUUUGAUAACUCUGCAGCUGCCAUAGUGUCUUCUGGUGUAGAGGUGGCUGAAAAAGCAGAAAGGAUUAACAGUGACUGUUCUGAAGAUGUGGAAGAAGAAGAGAGGGAAGGCAGUCAACAAGUGUCUCUGUCAGAAAUGAGUGGCACCCAGCCUACUGAAGAGUCUCGACCUGGGUCAGCUGGGCUUGCCAGCUCUGUUUGGCGGGCAGGGGCCUUGCUGUCUGAGCUUGACUCUGAGGAUGUGAGUUGCAGCCAGCAGGGAGCAUCAGAGCUAAGUGCUCCAGGUGUCCUGGAGGGCACGGAGAGCAUGGAUGAUCUAGGGGAUGCAAGCCUUAAAGGAGCUGAUGGUGAAGGUGCAUCUGUUGGGUCCCCUGACUUUGAGAAGGCUUCUGAUAUUCUUACUAAUGAAGAUGAUGAUGAUGAUGAAGAUGAUGAUGACCGAGUCUGUGACAUGGAGGUUGGGUCCGAAAGAGCAGAGGACUCUCAUAGGCAGAAUCAUGACAACGAGGAUGAUGAAGAGGAUGAAGAUGUAGAAAUGGCAAGCGAGGGCAUUACUGAGAGUGGGCUUGAAAGUUAUGGGAAUGCAGAUGAGGACGACUUGACUGAAGACUAUAGAUUAGACAACUUGAACCGAAUCCAGCCUCCUCCUAUGGUUCCUUCUGCCUCUCCAGCAUCCCAGUGGAACCAGCCUAGUUACUUUGCUGAUGCCUGGGCCCAGCCACCACAACCUGCCUCUACACUUCUUUCAAGUCCUUCCUCUGAAUGUUGGCAAGCAGACCCGGAAACCCCAACACAGACACCUGCUCAAGCAAGACUUGAUGUUAGCUCUGAAAGGGGCUCUCCAUCAAACCUUUUGGAGCCUCCACCUUGCACACCUCAACAAGCCCCAAUAUCUGCUGCAGAGGGGAAUGUUGGCCCCAAACUAGCCUUGACACCCUCUCAAACCUGCGAGUUCCAGCCUGAUACUUCCAGUGACCCUGACCUAGCAUCUGACAGUAACAGAGACACAAGUUUACCAGAAGAGGUGAAAGACAACAACUUUUCACGUACUGAGAUUCAUCCUAAAGUGGAGCUCCAGCCAGAACCACUAAACCCUGUCCCCACGGUCUUGCCAGACAUCAUGCAGGAUCUAGGCAUCCACCUUGAACGAGCUGAGGAGGAAGAGGAACCUGAAACUCUGCCGGCUGAUGAUGUACUGGGUGGUCCAGCAACUGCUCCAUCAUCUCCUUCAUCAGCUACUGAAGAUGAGGCAAGUGACACAGAAGGUGAAAUGCAGAUCAGUGACCCUCAAGCUGAGCUAUCUGGCACUGGCAAUGCCUGUGGAACAGCACCUGCGGGCCGCAACUUGUCAACUCUAGAGGAAUGUGAAGAAAUGGGUGGGGAGAAUGGCGGUGGUGGUAGUGAGACCCCUCAGUCUGCCACUUCUGCUGCAUCCUAUGGCUUUGACUACAUGACCUCUAACUCCAAUGCCCAGUCAUCUGCCGAGAGUUGCAGCAAGAGUCCUGGCAUCUUUUCUCUAGAAAAUGAAGAGCAGCUCCCAGAUGAGGCCAAGGAUCCAUCGCUUCUUAAAGAGUUGACCCUGAUACCCACUACUGCAUCUGAGGAAAAGAUUGACCCUGUUAAAAGCCAACAUGCAGAGUUCCAGUCUCACCCAGAGCAGCAGUACAUGCUGUGUGGAGAGUCCAGUGAGCUGCCUGAGCCUGAUUCAGUAGCGGGAGCUGUACCCUUAGAGUCUGGCUUGACUGAUGCUUCGUCCCGACAGCACCAGGAAGAGGAACAAGAUCUUGACUCUCAGCAUCCCUACUACUCCACUAUAUGCGAAAAGACUGAUAGUCCCCUGGCAGGUAACGUAUAGAGUGCACUUUAAAAUCCACCUUCCAGUGUACCUUGAUGUCAUCUCUAUAUAAGGGUUUUGUCUAGCUUGGGGUUUCCGUGUUGAUGAUGUCUUUUUAACCAGUUAAGAAAACGCUCAUUCAGCAGUGCCACUUUCACAAUAUGAUACAGCUAUUAAAAUUACAUAAGUAUAUGGCUUAGAAACCUGUAUGUGCAAUAGCUACUACCAUUUACACUAAAGGUGACUGUUUUUCUCAACUAUUCUUUUUAAAUCUAAUAAUGGGUGUUGGUCUGAACUGGCAUGAAGUUAUUUGUUUGUGGAGUCUUCAAAAUGACAGAAGUAACCAUUGAUGAAAAAUGAACAAUGUAAUGGACUUUCAACAUAUUUUCUGUGUAUUUACCAAUUCUUUUUUACUGAACAAAUGCAUAUUCAUUGCUUUUUGUAUUCUGUUGUCUAUUAAAUAAAUAAGUCUUUCAUCCCUUUUCCGUCAUUUCCAUAUCCUGUCCUCACAUGUUUCACUCUUCUGCACUUUAGGGUUUGCUAACCCCUUACUUUUUUAUGUCUUGUUUAUUUGGAGUACUUUAAUGUCUUAGCUUUAAAUAAAGGUUAGAUAUUUAACAUGAUUUCUCUUUGCUCUGUAUGUUUCUUGAUGUUUGAGUUUCAAGAUUUGUUUUAAUGCCCACUGUUCAUCACUAUGGACUGUUGCAAAUUGGUCACAUUUGUAGCCAAAUAACAAUGAACAUUUCAAUGGUAUAUUAAUUUGAGUAAAUAUUAGGCAUUUAAUAUUAAGAAACAUGUAAAACUACUACAUAAGGCUGAGACACUAAUUCAUGGUAUUGUUUUAUUAAGCAUCAGAGCACAUAAGUCAUAUUUAUUUAAUAUUCGCCUUAACUUAAACCAUUUGGUACCGUUUGUUGUGGCAUUAUAAGUUGGCUACUAAUACAAAAUUGUAAACUUGCACAUAUACACUUGCGCACACAAAUACACGUUGAACCUUCUGUAAGCAAAUUAUGUAAAGAAAACAGGAUGCUUGCAGCAGAAGGAGAGUUUAUUCUAUGCCAGUAUAUUCCUUCUGCUUGUAUUCCUCCACCCUUUCUUUUUUGACCCCACCUUCCUCUGAACUCCCUACCAUCCAGAGGAGGAAAAACAAGAGCUGACGCCAUCAACCUCCUGGAUCUCACCCUCUAUCAAGAAGGAAACUCCCAUUUUCCACCACAACCAAAUGACUUGCUUUCGAUCCAAAUGACGAUGUCGUCAAAACUUCGUCUCCGGCCACGUGCUCCCCAUGUGACCCAGCCGCCACGGCUUCCCACUGACCUCCCUCCCAGAAU
RNA transcript from Onychostoma macrolepis, 5316 nucleotides. It is a transcript of the gene named proline rich 36a, with no coding region annotated. The transcript is spliced from 6 exons. Lineage: Eukaryota; Metazoa; Chordata; Actinopteri; Cypriniformes; Cyprinidae. The record is from RefSeq and is a predicted model, not a curated record.